GAAUUGCAUUGCUAUUAGUAGAGCAGCAGCAAGCAGCAGAAUGUGUUUCAGCAGGAACACGAGAGGUCCCUACGGCUGUGUGACAAAACAGUCAAGCAUUGCACCGAAGGAAUUAAGCACCAAAUCUGGUAGAUGGAAGUACCGCCCUUGUGUCAAACCGAGAGUUGCUGAUGGCUUCAUAACUCAGUGGCGCUGGAGCACAGAAGGGUGUGACUGAGUUACAGAAGGCUGCUGAGUGCAGUUGCCUGUAAAUAGCAGCGCUGUGCACAGUGAACCAAAGCCUCUUUAUUCAGUGGAAGUCAGUAAGAGGUACACCCUGUUAAAAAAACAAUUGACUUCAUUUUCCUUGAGUGUGUUGUGAGAUCUGGGUUAAUAGUUUUCACCAGCAGAUAGAAAAUAAAGAAACUGCACAAAAUGCAACAGUGCAGCACAGUAGUGGUUGGCAGAGCAGUACGGGCUGACACAGUGCAGCCUGGAGGUGCCAUCACAGCUAGGAAAUGCUUCUGAAACAUAGAAGUACUUCAGAAAGCUGCAACAAUACGAAAGGAAAGCAUAAACGAGUUGUUUAGAAGUCCCUGACUACGGCUGCUUGCAACGCUAGAAAAU
RNAcentral lists this long non-coding RNA (606 nucleotides) under Gallus gallus (chicken). RNAcentral's name for it is "long non-coding RNA NONGGAT004377". Lineage: Eukaryota; Metazoa; Chordata; Aves; Galliformes; Phasianidae. The record is from RNAcentral.